RNAcentral lists this ribosomal RNA (465 nucleotides) under uncultured bacterium. RNAcentral's name for it is "partial 16S ribosomal RNA". It matches the Rfam family "Bacterial small subunit ribosomal RNA", at positions 28 to 507 of the family's 1533-position model. The record is from RNAcentral.
GACGAACGCUGGCGGCGUGCUUAACACAUGCAAGUCGAACGGAAAGGCCCCUUUGGGGGUACUCGAGUGGCGCAAGGGGGAGUAACACGUGAGUAACAUGCCCUUGAAUUCGGGGUAACUUCAGGAAACCGGGGCUAAUACCGGAUAGGAAUCCUUGCUGCAUGGUGGGGGUUGGGAAGCUUCGGCCGUUUUGGGUGGAAUCGCGGCUUAUCAGCUUGUUGGUGGGGGAGUGGCUUACACAGGCGUUGACGGGUAGCCGGGCUGAGAGGGCGACCGGCCACCUUGGGGCUGAGGUACGGCCCAGGCUCCUAAGGGGGGGAGCAGUGGGGAAUAUUGCAAAAUGGGCGGCAGCCUGAUGCAGCAACGCCGCGGGCGGGAUGACGGGCUUCGGGUUGUAAACCGCUUUCAGCAGGGGCGAAGCUUGUGGUGACGGUACCUGCAGAAGAAGCACCGGCUAACUACGUG